Molecule: unclassified non-coding RNA, 332 nt
Filed under: Hevea brasiliensis (rubber tree)
Lineage: Eukaryota; Viridiplantae; Streptophyta; Magnoliopsida; Malpighiales; Euphorbiaceae
Source: RNAcentral
UGUAAUUUACCCCGAUAUUCCCGGCGUAACUUUAAUAAUUUAUUUAUUUUCACUGUUAGGGCAGGGCAUAUGACGUUUUUUGUGGUGAUAUAGUUGAAAAUUUGUGGUCUAAGUUGAAUAAAUUAUGGAGAAAGGAGUUUAGAGAUCGAAUCCUUGGAUUCCCUUUUAUGAAAUACUCCAAUUUGAGGAAUAUUUUAAAAGGAGUAAAGCGUGUGGGGAGAGUGUUUGAUUAGCGUAGGAACAUGUUGGGGGGAGAUGGCAUGUCGUGGGUGCAGUAUGUUGAUAACGCUAGUGUUUGACAUUAAUUAUUGCUUUAACAAAGUUUUUGUCGG